Molecule: long non-coding RNA, 326 nt
Organism: Mastomys coucha (southern multimammate mouse)
Lineage: Eukaryota; Metazoa; Chordata; Mammalia; Rodentia; Muridae
Exons: 3
Source: RefSeq, a predicted model, not a curated record
GCACUGACAACAUUCAACAAACAGAGACAACUGGGGCGGUCUGAUUGAGAGAGCAAACAAAGGCAAGGUAGGAACCUUUGCAGUGUUUUGCAACUGGACCAUGGAAAACAGGCAAAGACAGCCAAAGAGUGAGAGAACCUAUCAGACCCUUAGCUUGCCACCUAACACAGAGCAUCAAUUCAACACCUGACACCUUACUGCCCCUUUGAGAAGGCUGAAGAGAAUGAAGGGCUCUGGAAGACUGCAUUAAGCACACAGAUGAGAGUGAGGCCUCUGGGUGCCUCAGAUAACACCGCUAAACAGAAUAAAAUCUCUUUGUAGACAGA